Molecule: non-coding RNA, 95 nt
Filed under: human gut metagenome
Source: RNAcentral
CAAAGGGGUGCUGGGUUUUCCCGGCUGAGACGGCGUGAAUUGAAGCGCCGGCACCCUCAGACCUGAUCCGGAUAAUGCCGGCGUAGGAAACAGUG